Non-coding RNA from Tamlana sp. s12, 108 nucleotides. Lineage: Bacteria; Pseudomonadati; Bacteroidota; Flavobacteriia; Flavobacteriales; Flavobacteriaceae. The record is from Rfam.
UAAGGUGGUUAUAGCGAUGGGGCUCACCUCUUACCAUUCCGAACAGAGAAGUUAAGCCCAUUAGCGCCGAUGGUACUACAUUAGUGGGAGAGUAGGUCGUUGCCUUUU